UUUUUUUUUCCUCCUUU
RNAcentral lists this small RNA (17 nucleotides) under Arabidopsis thaliana (thale cress). Its description in RNAcentral is "ATSL300690". Lineage: Eukaryota; Viridiplantae; Streptophyta; Magnoliopsida; Brassicales; Brassicaceae. The record is from RNAcentral.